GCCACGGUGGUCUAGCGGUUAGAACGCUGGCCUUGUAAUCCUGAGGGCUCGGGUUCGAUUCCCGGCGGUGCCC
Molecule: non-coding RNA, 73 nt
Organism: Zootermopsis nevadensis
Lineage: Eukaryota; Metazoa; Arthropoda; Insecta; Blattodea; Termopsidae
Source: Rfam